AGCAGCCGCGGUAAUUCCAGCUCCAAUAGCGUAUAUUAAAGUUGUUGCAGUUAAAAAGCUCGUAGUUGAAUUUCGGGGUUAGUAGGUUGGUCGUGCCACUGGUACGUACUGGUCUCACUGAUUCCUCCUUCCUGAUGAACUGUAAUGCCAUUAAUUUGGUGUUGCAGGGAAACUGGACUGUUACUUUGAAAAAAUUAGAGUGUUUAAAGCAAGCUAACGCUUGAAUACAUUAGCAUGGAAUAAUGAAAUAGGACGUUCGAUCCUAUUUUGUUGGUUUCUAGGAUUGACGUAAUGAUUAAUAGGGAUAGUUGGGGGCAUUAGUAUUCAAUUGUCAGAGGUGAAAUUCUUGGAUUUAUUGAAGACUAACUACUGCGAAAGCAUUUGCCAAGGAUGUUUUCAUUAAUCAAGAACGAAAGUUAGGGGAUCGAAGACGAUCAGAUACCGUCGUAGUCUUAACCAUAAACUAUGCCGACCAGGGAUCGGAUGAUGUUAAUUUUUUAAUGACUCAUUCGGCGCCUUA
RNAcentral lists this unclassified non-coding RNA (520 nucleotides) under uncultured Glomus. RNAcentral's name for it is "SSU rRNA". It matches the Rfam family "Eukaryotic small subunit ribosomal RNA", at positions 569 to 1090 of the family's 1831-position model. Lineage: Eukaryota; Fungi; Glomeromycota; Glomeromycetes; Glomerales; Glomeraceae. The record is from RNAcentral.